AAGUCGUAACAAGGUUUCCGUAGGUGAACCUGCGGAAGGAUCAUUAACACGUUAUCCACGUAUCUACCUUCUGUGAACUUAUUUUUUGUUUGUAGUUUUCUCAGGUAUGUCUAAGGAAGCAGAUGACCAUGUCGUGUGUGUUUUUUUGCAAAAAAAAACUCAAACGUUCUGCUUGCCUAGCCACCUUUGCUGAGUGCUAGUGUAUUGAGGUUAUUCCAUUUAAACGAUGAGUUUAGCCCUGCUAGCAACAAAAACUCCUUAGGAUGGGUAUCUGCGAGAACUCGAAUCAUGGUGGUUAUUAACCUAUUAACCCCUUUUUCUUUUUUUAAAUUGUCUUAGUGAGUGUUCAUCCUGAUUUUUUUUUUUAAAAAUCAGGGUUGACCUCCCCUAAAAAAAAUAACACUAUACAACUCUUAGCAACGGAUAUCUCGGUUCU
RNAcentral lists this unclassified non-coding RNA (436 nucleotides) under fungal sp. Its description in RNAcentral is "partial internal transcribed spacer region". The stretch from base 1 to 46 matches the Rfam family "Eukaryotic small subunit ribosomal RNA", at positions 1786 to 1831 of the family's 1831-position model. Lineage: Eukaryota; Fungi. The record is from RNAcentral.